CCGCCUGGGGAGUACGGCCGCAAGGUUAAAACUCAAAAUGAAUUUGACGGGGGGCCGCACAAGCGGUGGAGCAUGUGGGUUUAAUUCGAUGCAACGCGAAAGAACCUUACCUGGCCUUGACAUCCAGAGAACGUAGCAGAGAUGCUUCGGUGCCUUCGGGAACUCUGAGACAGGUGCUGCAUGGCUGUCGUCAGCUCGUGUUGUGAAAUGUUGGGUUAAGUCCCGCAACGAGCGCAACCCUUAUCCUUUGUUGCCAGCGGGUGAUGCCGGGAACUCAAAGGAGACUGCCGGUGAUAAACCGGAGGAAGGUGGGGAUGACGUCAAGUCAUCAUGGCCCUUACGGCCAGGGCUACACACGUGCUACAAUGGCGCAUACAAAGAGAAGCGACCUCGCGAGAGCAAGCGGACCUCAUAAAGUGCGUCGUAGUCCGGAUCGGAGUCUGCAACUCGACUCCGUGAAGUCGGAAUCGCUAGUAAUCGUAGAUCAGAAUGCUACGGUGAAUACGUUCCCGGGCCUUGUACACACCGCCCGUCACACCAUGGGAGUGGGUUGCAAAAGAAGUAGGUAGCUUAA
RNAcentral lists this ribosomal RNA (574 nucleotides) under Pantoea sp. Its description in RNAcentral is "bacterial SSU rRNA". It matches the Rfam family "Bacterial small subunit ribosomal RNA", at positions 869 to 1438 of the family's 1533-position model. Lineage: Bacteria; Pseudomonadati; Pseudomonadota; Gammaproteobacteria; Enterobacterales; Erwiniaceae. The record is from RNAcentral.